CCGCCCUUAGCUCAGUGGAUCAGAGUGCCGGAUUCCGAUUCCGAAGGUCGUGGGUUCAAAUCCCCCAGGGCGGG
Molecule: transfer RNA, 74 nt
Filed under: Ruminococcus sp. CAG:382
Lineage: Bacteria; Bacillati; Bacillota; Clostridia; Eubacteriales; Oscillospiraceae
Rfam family: tRNA
About the family: Transfer RNA (tRNA) molecules are approximately 80 nucleotides in length. Their secondary structure includes four short double-helical elements and three loops (D, anti-codon, and T loops).
Source: Rfam by way of RNAcentral